GUUCGCCGGAAGACCAAGGGUUCCUGUCCAACGUUAAUCGGGGCAGGGUGAGUCGGCCCCUAAGGCGAGGCUGAAAAGCGUAGUCGAUGGGAAACGGGUUAAUAUUCCCGUACUUGGAUAAACUGCGAUGUGGGGACGGAGCAGGUUAGGUUAUCGCACUGUUGGAUAUGUGCGUUUAAGUUGGUAGGUGUGAAGUUUAGGCAAAUCCGGACUUCUUUAACACCGAGAGAUGAUGACGAGGCUCUACGGAGCUGAAGUAACCGAUACCACACUUCCAGGAAAAGCCACUAAGCUUCAGGUUUAUCUAAACCGUACUGAAAACCGACACAGGUGGUCAGGUAGAGAAUACUCAGGCGCUUGAGAGAACUCGGGUGAAGGAACUAGGCAAAAUAGCACCGUAACUUCGGGAGAAGGUGCGCCGGCGUAGAUUGUAGUCCCUUGCGGAUGAAGGUUGAACCGGUCGAAGAUACCAGCUGGCUGCAACUGUUUAUUAAAAACACAGCACUCUGCAAACACGAAAGUGGACGUAUAGGGUGUGAUGCCUGCCCGGUGCUGGAAGGUUAAUUGAUGGUGUAAUCGAAAGAGAAGCUCCUGAUCGAAGCCCCAGUAAACGGCGGCCGUAACUAUAACGGUCCUAAGGUAGCGAAAUUCCUUGUCGGGUAAGUUCCGACCUGCACGAAUGGCAUAAUGAUGGCCAGGCUGUCUCCACCCGAGACUCAGUGAAAUUGAAAUCGCCGUGAAGAUGCGGUGUACCCGCGGCUAGACGGAAAGACCCCGUGAACCUUUACUAUAGCUUGACACUGAACAUUGAAUUUUGAUGUGUAGGAUAGGUGGGAGACUUAGAAGUAGUCACGCCAGUGAUUAUGGAGUCGUCCUUGAAAUACCACCCUUUAACGUUUGAUGUUCUAACGAAGAUUACGAAACGUGGUCUCGGACAGUGUCUGGUGGGUAGUUUGACUGGGGCGGUCUCCUCCCAAAGAGUAACGGAGGAGCACGAAGGUUUGCUAAUGACGGUCGGACAUCGUCAGGUUAGUGCAAUGGUAUAAGCAAGCUUAACUGCGAGACAGACAAGUCGAGCAGGUACGAAAGUAGGUCAUAGUGAUCCGGUGGUUCUGAAUGGAAGGGCCAUCGCUCAACGGAUAAAAGGUACUCCGGGGAUAACAGGCUGAUACCGCCCAAGAGUUCAUAUCGACGGCGGUGUUUGGCAC
Molecule: ribosomal RNA, 1208 nt
Filed under: metagenome
Description: bacterial LSU rRNA
Rfam family: Bacterial large subunit ribosomal RNA
Source: RNAcentral